AUACGGAGGAUCCGAGCGUUAUCCGGAUUUAUUGGGUUUAAAGGGAGCGUAGGUGGACAGUUAAGUCAGUUGUGAAAGUUUGCGGCUCGACCGUAAAAUUGCAGUUGAUACUGGCUGUCUUGAGUACAGUAGAGGUGGGCGGAAUUCGUGGUGUAGCGGGGAAAUGCUUAGAUAUCACGAAGAACUCCGAUUGCGAAGGCAGCUCACUGGACUGCAACUGACACUGAUGCUCGAAAGUGUGGGUAUCAAACAGGAUUAGAUACCCUGGUAGUCCACACAGUAAACGAUGAAUACUCGCAGUUUGCGAUAUACAGUAAGCGGCCAAGCGAAAGCAUUAAGUAUUCCACCUGGGGAGUACGCCGGCAACGGUGAAACUCAAAGGAAUUGACGGGG
Molecule: ribosomal RNA, 393 nt
Filed under: uncultured bacterium
Lineage: Bacteria
Description: partial 16S ribosomal RNA
Rfam family: Bacterial small subunit ribosomal RNA
Source: RNAcentral